GAAUAUAUUUGGCAAACUUAUCGAAAGGUAAGGACGCAAAGCUAUGGGUCUAAGGGGUUCCCUAUGAUUGCCAGGCUGCCAUU
RNAcentral lists this non-coding RNA (83 nucleotides) under Anaerosporomusa subterranea. Its description in RNAcentral is "Anaerosporomusa subterraneum c-di-GMP sequence". It matches the Rfam family "c-di-GMP-I riboswitch aptamer". Rfam says of the family: GEMM was predicted in a large-scale screen for bacterial structured RNA regulatory elements. Genes associated with GEMM are involved in a diverse array of functions, including chemotaxis regulation, signal transduction, secretion and chitin. Lineage: Bacteria; Bacillati; Bacillota; Negativicutes; Acetonemataceae. The record is from Rfam by way of RNAcentral.